GAGGUUAUCAUCCACACAGGUGGUGCAUGGUUGUCGUCAGCUCGUGUCGUGAGAUGUUCAGUUAAGUCUGGCAACGAGCGCAACCCUCGUGAUCUGUUGCUACCAGUAAGAUGAGGACUCAGAUCAGACUGCCGGUGACAAACCGGAGGAAGGCGGGGAUGACGUCAAAUCAUCAUGCCCCUUAUGGCCUGGGCUACACACGUACUACAAUGGCGCCUACAGACGGAAGCGAAGCUGUAAAGUGGAGCAAACCCGAUAAAAGGCGUCCCAGUUCGGAUUGAAGUCUGCAACCCGACUUCAUGAAGUUGGAAUCGCUAGUAAUCGCGGAUCAGCAUGCCGCGGUGAAUACGUUCCCGGGCCUUGUACACACCGCCCGUCAAACCAUGGAAGCCGGCAACGCCCGAAGCCGAUGGCAUAACCCAAAAGGGAGUGAGUCGUCUAAGGCGGGGCCGAUGACUGGGGUUAAGUCGUAACAAGGUAUCCCUACGGGAACGUGGGGAUGGAUCACCUCCUUU
This 515-nucleotide ribosomal RNA is filed under the name Erysipelotrichaceae bacterium RD49. RNAcentral describes it as "Bacterial small subunit ribosomal RNA". It matches the Rfam family "Bacterial small subunit ribosomal RNA", at positions 1019 to 1533 of the family's 1533-position model. Lineage: Bacteria; Bacillati; Bacillota; Erysipelotrichia; Erysipelotrichales; Erysipelotrichaceae. The record is from Rfam by way of RNAcentral.